CAGAGGCCGUCCCUUUUCCCAGGGAAGAGUCUUGACAGUUUAGCAAUGGCUUGAAUCAGCAUGCAGUAAGUUGGUCAAAUGUGGCUGAACUCCGUGGUCCCUUAACUGUGAGUUAAAUAUAUUUUUUGUUCCACUGAGUGUUAUUUGAAAAAACAUUUUCCAACAUGCUUCCUGUAGAAUAGGGACUGCCAUUGCCCACAUAUUUAUUUAGCUCACGUAUUGGCAAGCUGAAGUGGAAAAAGCCUUUUCACAGAAGCUG
This 259-nucleotide long non-coding RNA is filed under the name Numida meleagris (helmeted guineafowl). Its description in RNAcentral is "lncRNA (ENSNMEG00000007604.1)". Lineage: Eukaryota; Metazoa; Chordata; Aves; Galliformes; Numididae. The record is from RNAcentral.